This 71-nucleotide non-coding RNA is filed under the name unclassified sequences. The record is from RNAcentral.
AGAGGGGCUGCCCCCUCUCUCCUAAUGCAGCCGAUGGCGGUGGCAAGCCCGCAGACAAUGCAGAGCCGGAA